AAGAACAUUUCAGUCCUGAUAUUUGCUGUAACUAAUAAUUACUGGAUAAACAGAGAAGACACAUGGAGGAUCUUUUACCUGGGUCCAACAAAACCAUAGCAACAGCAGCAAGUUGAAAAAAGCAAAAAAAAAAAAACAAAAAAGAGACCGAGGUAUAAUUACAAUCCCAUCCCACAAAAAGGUCAAGGGCUACCCGAAAGACUGGUGGGCCCCAGGAUCCUCAAAGCAUCCAAGCCAUCCCUAUACUCUCAGAUUAAUAAUCCUUGAAUAUUUUAAUGGGAACGGAUAACCAGACUUGGAUCAUCUCUGCCAUCCUAAAGAUCCAGUCCAGAGAAGGAAGAAAGAAAGCCUUCCACACGUGUGCCUCUCACCUCACAGUGGUUGCCCUGUGCUAUGGUGUGGCCAUUUUCACUUACAUCCAGCCCCACUCCAGUCCCUCUGUCCUUCAGGAGAAGUUGUUCUCUGUCUUUUAUGCCAUUUUGACACCAAUGCUGAACCCUAUGAUUUACAGCCUAAGGAAUAAAGAGGUGAAGGGGGCCUGGCAGAAACUAUUUUGGAAAUUCUCUGGGUUAACAUCAAAGCUGGCAACUUGACUCAUGAGUAUGACUUAGAGAAAACAGCUUUGCCUCAGUGUUCUCCACCCAACUCAGAUCUGACAGGUGUAAACUACAUUGCCCUGGCAACCAGGAAGGAGAUGACAUAGCAUGUAUUGUGGAUGUUAUGUAGGAGGGUGAGUGGUUCAGUUGGAUGGGGUGUGGGACGUGGGGUUAUAUUUAUGAACAGUGGAGUUAGAUACUGCUGUUAUAAAACUUCCCACACUUCUUCCACCUCCACUCUUACAGCCUGACAAUCGUUGAAAAAAAAUUACUACUUACUGUUUUGAUUUGUCACAUCGUUUGUAAUCAUAGACCUACUCAUCGAUCUUACCUUGGACCACUGGUACUUACACAUCCACAUUUUAUAAAAGAUUAUGGGGCUUCCAUUGAAAACAAAAUGCAUUUUUACAUUUGAAGACUCACUUUAAAUAAUUUGUAGUGUAUGUCAUCACAUGCAGUAAUUGCGUGAGUCAACAUUCUAAGAAAAGUGUUAUUGUCAAGGCUGACUAAAAUGUUUUUGUGCAGGACCUAACAAAAGGUGAACAUAAUGUCUUCUCCUGAGUGCUGGAGCUAAUUCAGUAAAAAAAUAUCAACUCAAGGUCUUGUUUCACCUCGAUAGGGUGACAGUCAAUGGUUGUUUGUAACGAAGACUAUUAUUGACCAAGAAAAGUUAAGCUUCAGGUGCUUCUUGACAGUAUUCAAACAGUUUGAGAAGGAUUUUACUGCAUAUAUAGGUAUAUCAUUUAAAAUAUUAAAAAUGAUCAAUCUCUGAAAAAUCUGUAAGCUCUUUCUCAGAAUCUUUAGAAACACAAAAAAGCACACAAAUUAUGAGAUACUGUGAAAAAUGUCAAAGACAUAGUUAAUUUAAGGAAAAACUCUUCAGCCAAAGUCAAUGAAGGGUAAGCUAAUUUAAUAUGAAGUUUGGAACAUCAAGGAAGGUCAGUCAACUAUGCAAAUGUUACCCUCAAGUCUCCACAUUGAGAACUUCUCUUUCCCCCUCCAUCUUCCCCGCCCUCACACACACAACAGAGCCAUAGGUGAAUUUUUGUAAAUCUUGUAACCUGGGCUUGUCUGAGAAUGGACUUCCCUUUGAAAAGAAGGGUAACUGAUGUAAAAGGAGAAGACAUAAUUGAAAAAGGGGAAAGAAAAGAAAGAAUAUGAUCAUAGCUGGUCUUCCUACUCCCUUGAAGGAGACAAAGUCCUUUCUUCCUUUUGUAUCCUCUUUAAGUCAGUUGAUUUGCAGUUCUUACAUUUAUCAACACAUCAUCAUAGAAUCUAAGAGUUCUUACAGUGUUGAAGGCAUAUAACCCAAAGCCCAUUUGACAUCUGAAUUUUAUAUUAAUAGUAAUGCAAUCUUAAAUUUCACAAGAUAGGCAGGCAUCCUAAAAGAUGGCAAUGCUGGCAAAUUAAAUUUUUAUUUCAAGUAUUAUCAGUGGAGUAUCUAUUAUGUGUCAGUGUCAAUAAAUGGUUGUUGGACACAAUAGUCAAUAUGAUACCAUCCUGACAAGGAUAACUUUGCAUAGUAGGGAGGACAGAUGAUGAAACAAUGAUAAUGCAUUGUGGUAAGUGUUACAGUGAAGGGGAGCCCACUGGAAAUGUUUGCAGAAGGCUUCCUAUAAAAGGACCCUUGGAUUGAGACCAGAAAUGUAAGAACAAGUUAUCCAGAAGACAAGAAACCCAAACAAGAAACAACCUGUACAAAGUUGUAGAGAUGUGAGCAAGCAUGAAAGUCCAAAAAAUGUUGGAAGUUCAAUUUCAGGGCACAGAAGAGUGAGAGAGUAGUGAGGAUGAAGCAGGUGGGUUAGACAUGGUCAGAUCCUGGAAGGUGUCGAAUGUCUAAGUAUCUUUUAACUUUAUUCUGAUAGAAAACAAUAGUCCGUCAAAAAUAUUUAGAAGGAGUAUAGAUUGAAAACAAUUACAUUUUAAAAGUAUCACUCUGGCAAAUGAGAUAGUGGAAGAAAAGAUUAGAGGCAAGAUGACCAGCCUGUCUGCUGGGUCUGCUUCAGUAAUACUCUUGAGACAUUACAGACAUCUGAAUUUAGAUGCAAUGGGAAGAAGACAAGUAAAGCAGUGUCAUUUAAAAGUGAUGUCAGCUAAAACACUUCAUCUCCCAGAUUGGAAAUGCCAUCUGAAUAUCAUUCCUCUUCCAAAAUGUGAUGAUGCUGUCUGAACAUUCUGUAAAUUGUGUAGUAAACUGGAAAAUUCACCAUCAUGAACAUGCCCUAUAUAAAAUGGUAUGGGAAAGAGAUAAGAAAAAAGUAAUCAAAAAUACAAAUAUACACAUAAUACAUCAAGGAGGAAAAUACAUGAAGAUGCUAUAUCUUCAUUUCUUCCAGCGGUCAUGUGGUCACAGUGUUUGUGACAUUUCUCCAUCAACCAUCACACAAUCCUCUGCCUUCAAACAACUCCUAAGCAUGUUGGGGUUCUUCCUGGAAGGGUUAUCCAAGUCUUGAUAUCUCAGGAAGCAGAAAUGCUGAGAGUGGGCAUUAGGUGUGUAGAAAUAGACUACUAUAGUCUCAUAUUCUGUAUUAGUCAGGGUUCUUUAGAGAGACAAGACUAAUGGGAUAGAUGAAUAUAUGAAAAGGAGUUUAUUAAGGAGCAUUGACUCACACGAUCAAAAGGUAAAGUCCCACAAUAGGCCUUCUGUAAGCUGAGGAGCAAGGAAGCCAGCUGGAGUUCCAAAACCUCAAAAGUAGGGAAGCCAACAGUGCAGCCCUCAGUCUGUGGCCAAAGGCCCGAGAGCCCCUGGUCAACCACUGGUGUAGGUCCAAGAGUCCAAAAGCUGAAGAAAUUGGAGUGGAGUCUGAUGUUUAAGGUCAGGAAGCAUCCAGCACAGGAGAAAGAUGGAGGCCAGAAGUCUCAGGCAAUAUAGUCCUUCCAUGUUCCUCUACCUGCUUUUAUCCUAGCCAUGCUGGCAGCUGAUUAGAUGGUGCCUACCCAGAUUGAGGGUGGGCCUGCCUCUCCUAGUCCACUGACUCAAAUGUUAAUCUCCUUUGGCAACACCUCCACAGACACACCCAGGAACAAUACUUUGUAGGCUUCAAUCCAGUCAAGUUGAUAGUCAAUAUUAACCAUCACAUAUUCCAUCUAUUAAAUUUCAAUUUUUAUCUUUUUUAUUUGAUAGAGUUUUUAAUUUCAAGUCUGCACUUUCUCGGUAACUUAAAUCUUCAUAAAUUAAAUUUGUUGGAUCACUUUAAGACUACACACACUUCUAAUUCAUAGCUGCUUGUGAAGGACAUUCCCAAUAGGAGGCAUGAACAUUGUCUUGAUACAGGAAUACAAAAUAAGAUGCUAUUCUAAACUUUAUUGUUUAUUUAGCCAUUAAAUAGAAAAAAUUUAAAAAGACACUGAAAAGUAUUUGAAAAUAAAAUAUUUUUCAUUAGUUAAUAACCAUAAAAACACCACUGAAGGUUUUCCUUAAAAAUCUAAU
Molecule: small RNA, 4026 nt
Filed under: Pongo abelii (Sumatran orangutan)
Lineage: Eukaryota; Metazoa; Chordata; Mammalia; Primates; Hominidae
Description: processed transcript
Source: RNAcentral